This 380-nucleotide long non-coding RNA is filed under the name Homo sapiens (human). Its description in RNAcentral is "HSALNT0210598". The record is from RNAcentral. Lineage: Eukaryota; Metazoa; Chordata; Mammalia; Primates; Hominidae.
GAGUCAUCCUGCCCAUUCUAGGGUAUAAAGCAACCUUCCCCAGAAUGGACUGCAAGCACUUCUCCCUCUCUUCCCUUCUAAGAACCAGAAAUUCAGAAGCAAUCCCACCAUGAUGAGAACAGCUGCACAAGGAAAUCACAAAGGAUCCAGGCUUCUUCUAACUUCUGGCUCUUCCACCUUUUUAGCAUGUGACUUUUGCCCUCAUUGGCACAAGAUGACUGCUUAACCCCCAGUCACUGAAUCUUUCUUCCAGGGAAGGGGAAAGGCAAAAGACUAAAGGUAAAGAUACGUGCCUACUGAACCUUCCCCUUUUUUCAGGAAAAGAAUAGCAUUCCUGGACUUACAUCCCACUGGCAAGAAUUCUGUUACUCUGCAAGAAA